UACGUAGGGGGCAAGCGUUGUCCGGAAUUAUUGGGCGUAAAGAGCUCGUAGGCGGUUUGUCGCGUCUGCUGUGAAAACUCGGGGCUUAACCCCGGGCCUGCAGUGGGUACGGGCAGACUAGAGUGCGGUAGGGGAGACUGGAAUUCCUGGUGUAGCGGUGAAAUGCGCAGAUAUCAGGAGGAACACCGGUGGCGAAGGCGGGUCUCUGGGCCGAUACUGACGCUGAGGAGCGAAAGCGUGGGGAGCGAACAGG
Molecule: ribosomal RNA, 253 nt
Filed under: uncultured bacterium
Lineage: Bacteria
Description: partial 16S ribosomal RNA
Rfam family: Bacterial small subunit ribosomal RNA
Source: RNAcentral